Molecule: ribosomal RNA, 335 nt
Filed under: uncultured bacterium
Lineage: Bacteria
Description: bacterial SSU rRNA
Rfam family: Bacterial small subunit ribosomal RNA
Source: RNAcentral
AGGGUUUGAUCCUGGCUCAGGAUGAACGCUGGCGGCGUGCUUAACACAUGCAAGUCGAGCGGAGUUAAUUAGAAGCUUGCUUUUGAUUAACUUAGCGGCGGACGGGUGAGUAACGUGUGGGCAACCUGCCCUGUACUGUGGAAUAAUCACUUGAAAAGGUGACUAAUACCGCAUGUGGUCCUUAGGAGGCAUCUUCUGAGGAAGAAAGGAAAUAUUCGGUACAGGAUGGGCCCGCAUCUGAUUAGCUAGUUGGUGAGAUAACAGCCCACCAAGGCGACGAUCAGUAGCCGACCUGAGAGGGUGAUCGGCCACAUUGGGACUGAGACACGGCCCAA